Molecule: transfer RNA, 68 nt
Filed under: human gut metagenome
Rfam family: tRNA
About the family: Transfer RNA (tRNA) molecules are approximately 80 nucleotides in length.
Source: RNAcentral
GGGAGUGGCUCAGUGGUAGAGCGUCGCCUUGCCAUGGCGAAUGUCGCGAGUUCGAAUCUCGUCUUCCG